GGCCUCGUAGCUCAGCUGGUAGAUCGUGCGCUUUACAAAGGCAUAGGCGGCGUCUAUGCGUGGGUUCUAAUCCCAUCGAGGCUA
Echinostoma caproni is the source of this 84-nucleotide non-coding RNA. The record is from Rfam. NCBI's taxonomy places the organism in Eukaryota, Metazoa, Platyhelminthes, Trematoda, Plagiorchiida, Echinostomatidae.